RNAcentral lists this ribosomal RNA (492 nucleotides) under uncultured bacterium. RNAcentral's name for it is "partial 16S ribosomal RNA". It matches the Rfam family "Bacterial small subunit ribosomal RNA", at positions 29 to 507 of the family's 1533-position model. The record is from RNAcentral.
AGUGAACGCUGGCGGUAGGCCUAACACAUGCAAGUCGAACGGCAGCACAGUAAGAGCUUGCUCUUACGGGUGGCGAGUGGCGGACGGGUGAGGAAUACAUCGGAAUCUACUUUUUCGUGGGUGAUAACGUAGGGAAACUUACGCUAAUACCUCAUACGACCUACGGGUGAAAGCAGGGGAUCUUCGGACCUUGCGCGAUUGAAUGAGCCGAUGUCGGAUUAGCUAGUUGGCGGGGUAAAGGCCCACCAAGGCGACGAUCCGUAGCUGGUCUGACAGGAUGAUCAGCCACACUGGAACUGAGACACGGUCCAGACUCCUACGGGAGGCAGCAGUGGGGAAUAUUGGACAAUGGGCGCAAGCCUGAUCCAGCCAUACCGCGUGGGUGAAGAAGGCCUUCGGGUUGUAAAGCCCUUUUGUUGGGAAAGAAAAGCAGCAGGUUAAUACCCCGCUGUUCUGACGGUACCCAAAGAAUAAGCACCGGCUAACUUCGUG